RNAcentral lists this long non-coding RNA (626 nucleotides) under Chinchilla lanigera (long-tailed chinchilla). Its description in RNAcentral is "lncRNA (ENSCLAG00000027156.1)". The record is from RNAcentral. Lineage: Eukaryota; Metazoa; Chordata; Mammalia; Rodentia; Chinchillidae.
GGGGGUAGAAGGCAGUGGAGAUCCAUCCGCCUCCUUCCUCCUCUUCAUUCAUGUGAUAAAAUUGGCACUGACAGAUAAAGUCAAGCUGUUGGCUUUCUCAGCUGAGAUUAAAAAUAUUUCUUUAACUUUUAUCAACAACAAGAAUCAAGUCAAAAUACCUCUAAAUACAAAAGAAAAGAAGCGACCGCUUUCAAACCAGCUGCUAAAUAUGGUUUUAGCCCUGGAAAGUCAUCACCAGACCCCCGUGACAGAGAUGACACGUGGCCGGCAGAAGACCCACAGCGUGUCAGGAGCUGGGCCAGGACCGAACCCAAGCAGCCGUCUAGCUCCAGAGAGCCACUCUUGGCCUUAAAGCCCCUUGUCCCCGCAGCAGUCAGCAGUGAGUCCGGCAGCCUGCAGUGGUCUCCGAGCCUCACGAUGCUGCCCCGCAUGCUCAGCCUGUGGCCAUUUAAUGUCCUCACUCAAGCCUUUGUCUGCCUGUGUCACCGCCUGCAUCCAGCUGCGUCCCCAGCUUCCCUCUGGGCUCCUCUGUUCCCACACGCUGCGGCAGGCCCUCUUCCCUUCUCCCUCUCCCUCAUGCUUCUCAGCCCCCUGAGCGAUCAAUUAUUUACCAAGCACUUAUCCCG